RNAcentral lists this ribosomal RNA (479 nucleotides) under uncultured bacterium. RNAcentral describes it as "partial 16S ribosomal RNA". It matches the Rfam family "Bacterial small subunit ribosomal RNA", at positions 28 to 507 of the family's 1533-position model. The record is from RNAcentral.
GAUGAACGCUGGCGGCGUGCUUAACACAUGCAAGUCGAACGAAGCACUUUAACCUGAUUCUUCGGAUGAAGGCUUUUGUGACUGAGUGGCGGACGGGUGAGUAACGCGUGGGUAACCUGCCUCAUACAGGGGGAUAACAGUUAGAAAUGACUGCUAAUACCGCAUAAGACCACAGAGCCGCAUGGCUCGGUGGGAAAAACUCCGGUGGUAUGAGAUGGACCCGCGUCUGAUUAGGUAGUUGGUGGGGUAACGGCCUACCAAGCCAACGAUCAGUAGCCGACCAGAGAGGGUGACCGGCCACAUUGGGACUGAGACACGGCCCAAACUCCUACGGGAGGCAGCAGUGGGGAAUAUUGCACAAUGGGGGAAACCCUGAUGCAGCGACGCCGCGUGAGCGAAGAAGUAUUUCGGGAUGUAAAGCUCUAUCAGCAGGGAAGAAAAUGACGGUACCUGACUAAGAAGCACCGGCUAAAUACGUG